GUAUCUCCCCACUCUUUUUUUUUUUUUCUCCAAAAGUAAAAUAGUAAGAUUUUUACUCCAUGUAGUUUAAUCUUGAAAUGUACUGAUAGCGUGUAGUGCUGUUCCCCUGCUUGUUGGUAGAGUUGACUUGUGUGCUGAAUCAUAGCCUCCACUCGAAAAUUAUAAACUAUACCAGUAAGAACUUGCCGGCACAAACACAAAUGUUUUAAAUCGAAAUGGCACAAUGAAAAACAGUUGAGUUGAAGACUGAUGUAUUUGACAUUUUUUUUAUUAGAUUUAACUUUGGUAAACUAAUCCUGUACAAAUUGUGCAUAACGAGCAACACAUCUGGAUGUUUUGAGUCCUUUUACAUUUUUAUAUUACAGUUAAUGUACAAAAUGCAUUAGGUGAUGGUAUAACUGUAAUACUAUGUUUAUAGCUCCUAUCGAAAGGGGGUGAAGGCUUUAUCUAUUCACUGCCAAUUUGAUUGCAUUUGAGGCCAAAGAAUUUUACAGCUGAAAGGAGUCAUUUAGAAUAGAACUGAUAUAAAGUUUUGAAAGGUCAAUACUGUACAUAUACACGCACGGUAUUAAUCAUACUCUGUGUCUUUCAAAUUUGUCAUUUUGUAUAUAGAAGAAUGCAUCAAUUUUCACAAGUUAUUGCCUUGAGCGAUUUAGAAAAAUCGCAACCAAGGUUUUGUGAUGACGUCUUUUAGGUAAUCAGUUUCUCUCUGACAUCUGUGACGUUGAAGAAAUUUUACUAUUUUUUAAGGUCCACUGUCUUGUUUGAGUGUGUUCAAUAAACUAGAAUUCGCCAUCUCUGAAAUCAGUCUUUGUGAACCAUUAGGCCAAAUGCUACUUUUCUGUGCAAUUUUAUCUAAUGUACUAAUUGAAUCAAUUAAAUGCAAUAAACAUGAUGGAGUAGGACAGCAGCAUAUUUUACAAGGUCUGUUGAAGUUAUGUUUGUGAAAGGUUUGUGCAGCCUACUUGCCAAAACAUAACCUGCUGUUCUUUUCUCAGGGUAAGUGUUGUGACCAGGUUUGGGGUCAAUUCUGGAAGUACUCUCUAAUGUUAGAAUUUCUUUUUUAUUAGGAACAUUUGGAAUUUUAUCCCAGCCCUGGUCGUGACAUCCUUUCAAAAAAGGUUAUAGACCGAUCAAGUCCAUUUUCUCAUGUUUACACUUGGCCAUUUAAAAGAAAAUGAUGGAUUGUGCUUGAGGCUGUCGUGUUUUCUUAUCUUCACAGUAUCGUGGCAUUGACCCAAAGGUUUUCUUCCAAUGGUCAGAUUAACGCAGACCUGUCUUCGGUGGUUUAAUAACGUACAG
This is a long non-coding RNA of Esox lucius (northern pike), 1302 nucleotides long. The record is from Ensembl. NCBI's taxonomy places the organism in Eukaryota, Metazoa, Chordata, Actinopteri, Esociformes, Esocidae.